GUCCCUGUAGUACAGUGGAUAUCGCGUUGGACUUCAAAUCCAAAGGUCGUGGGCUCGAAUCCCACCUGGGAUU
This is a non-coding RNA of Trichonephila clavipes, 73 nucleotides long. The record is from the annotation of a GenBank genome assembly. NCBI's taxonomy places the organism in Eukaryota, Metazoa, Arthropoda, Arachnida, Araneae, Nephilidae.